GAUCAACAUGUUCGAAGUUAAACAAGUGUAUUAACAUAGAUAAUAUCUAAACGUGGAUGUCAUAAAAAAAAUAAAAUAAAUUUUUAAAAACAAAAAUUAAAUUACAGAUUUACAGAUGUCAAUAAAUAAUUCUUGAUACGCAAUGGGAUUAUUUCCUGAUUCCAAUACAAUAAUUAGUUAAAGUUUAGUUAAAAACAGUGACAUAGGUACUCUAGUCGAUUUCACAACACUGAGCACUCGAUCGAAGCGACGACGAUAU
Molecule: non-coding RNA, 259 nt
Organism: Cinara cedri
Lineage: Eukaryota; Metazoa; Arthropoda; Insecta; Hemiptera; Aphididae
Source: the annotation of a GenBank genome assembly